RNAcentral lists this ribosomal RNA (878 nucleotides) under uncultured Acidobacteriota bacterium. RNAcentral describes it as "bacterial SSU rRNA". It matches the Rfam family "Bacterial small subunit ribosomal RNA", at positions 58 to 939 of the family's 1533-position model. The record is from RNAcentral. Lineage: Bacteria; Pseudomonadati; Acidobacteriota.
CAAGUCGAGUGCGCGUCUGUAGCAAUACAGAUGGCGCACGGCGCACGGGUGCGUAACACGUGGGCAAUCUGCCCUUCGAUGGGGAAUAACUCCGGGAAACCGAAGCUAAUUCCGCAUAACAUUCCUUGGACCUCGGUUCGGGGACUCAAAGCCGUAAGGCGUCGAAGGAGGAGCCCGCGCCCGAUUAGCUAGUUGGUGAGGUAACGGCUCACCAAGGCAAUGAUCGGUAGCUGGUCUGAGAGGAUGGCCAGCCACACUGGAACUGAGACACGGUCCAGACUCCUACGGGAGGCAGCAGUGGGGAAUCUUGCGCAAUGGGCGAAAGCCUGACGCAGCGACGCCGCGUGGGGGAUGAAGCAUCUCGGUGUGUAAACCCCUUUCGACUGGGACGAAUGCCUCGCAAGAGGAGUGACGGUACCAGUAGAAGAAGCCCCGGCUAACUACGUGCCAGCAGCCGCGGUAAGACGUAGGGGGCCAGCGUUGUUCGGAAUUACUGGGUGUAAAGGGUUCGUAGGCGGUGUGGCAAGUCGGGAGUGAAAUCUAUGGGCUUAACCCAUAGGCUGCUUCCGAAACUGCCGUGCUUGAGUGUGGGAGAGGCGCGUGGAAUUGCAGGUGUAGCGGUGAAAUGCGUAGAUAUCUGCAGGAACACCCGUGGCGAAAGCGGCGCGCUGGACCACUACUGACGCUGAGGAACGAAAGCUAGGGGAGCAAACAGGAUUAGAUACCCUGGUAGUCCUAGCCCUAAACGAUCAGGACUUGGGGUGCCACCCGUUCGGGUGUCGUCCCGGAGCUAACGCGUUAAGUCCUGCACCUGGGGAGUACGGUCGCAAGACUGAAACUCAAAGGAAUUGACGGGGGCCCGCACAAGCGGUGGAACA